GACAGAUAAUUUUAAUUUAUAAGGCAAAUUGACAAAUGCGCGGGGUGUCUUCUAUUAUUUUGCGAAGUAUUUAUUUACGUAUAAUUCGACUAAAAUCGGCAAAUGCAAGACAUGUUUGAAGAUUUAGCGAAAGAUUAGUGAAAAUUACUUGUUGCAUCAUUUAAAAGUGAUAAAUUUGUGGGUCAAACUUAUAGUUAAUAGUAUUAUCUAAUAACGUUCUCAUAUUUAAUUGGAUGAUCAAAAAUGAUAGCAGAUAACGUGACAUUGAUUGUGAAGGCACCAAAUCAGCAGAUCGAGGAUCAAAACGUCGAGUGCCAGACUUCUUGGACCGUGAGGCAACUGAAGGGCCACCUUUCAGUAGUAUACCCAAGCAAACCGAAAGAAGACGAGCAGAAAAUAAUAUACUCAGGCCAACUUCUAGACGACAACACUAUCCUGAAGGAUGUGCUGAGGAACUACGAGACCCAGAUCGCGCAUACUAUGCACUUGGUGUGCUCUAACAAGAAAAUGAUGGAACAAAAGCCUGAGCUGCCCAAAACCGACGGCCUACGCCAGAGGAACGUUACGGAGACCGCCCCACGGCCGGCCGAGACCACGUCCAGGCCAGAAACGAGGCAGAAUGACCAGAACCACACAGUAGAAAUGCAGAACUACCUUAAUUCUUACCUAAACAACUACGGAAGAGUACCUCCAUAUCCAAACUAUAACCUAAACCUUGGACAAGGUUACCUUCCCGUACCAAAUGAUCCAGCAUCCAUGGCUAAUCAUGUUCUUAUGGUUCAGCAAGCGUACAUCCAGUAUAUGCAGCAGUAUAAUAACAUGAGGAAAUCGUUAGCGGAGACGCAGCCAACUCCACCACCAGUAGAAACGCCCCCGCAGCCCCCGGCUGAGGCGCCCGAGGCCGAGCCGGAGGACGGACAAGCCAGAGACUGGCUGGACCAUCUGUACGCCGCGUCCAGGUUUGGCAUACUGCUGUCGCUGUUCUGGCUGUACGGCAGCCCGGCCAGGCUGCUACUCGUCGUGCUUCUGGCGGCUGCUGGCUAUCUGCACCAAAUCGGUUUCUUCCGCGACCUCCACUUGAACCCAGGCAACAACCAACCGAACCAGGUGAACCAACCGCGCCGCAACCAGCAACCGCCCGACAACCAGAACGACGACAACCAGAACCCCGAGCCAACCGCCCGCCCCAACAACGAACCGCCAAAUAACGAAGAUGACAACCAACAGUCGUUAUUAGCGGUCACCUGGAUGAUAUUCACAACGUUCUUCGCUUCCUUAGUACCGGAUACCAAUAAUUAAGUUCCAAGAACAUAAUAUAAUCUGAAUUAUUGUUUGUAGUGUACCUCUUUCAGACUGUGGUAGUGUUUUACUAUGAGGUUCCCAAAAUGGGCUAUGGAAAUUACUGCGGAAUAUAGCCCAGCCAUAAUAAAAUAAUGUUUCGUUUCUUUUGCUGGAUGUAAUAACAAAUUGCCAACUAUACGAUUGCUCGUAACUUAGUGUAGAUUUGCUGUCAAAUUGCUGGCAAUAAAAAACAGUCAUGAAAAUUGCUGCAAAAUAUACCUCAGCUGUAAAAAAAAAUCGUUUACUCAGCCCAGUCGCUAGAUUUAAUGACAAGUUGAGCUGUGGAGAGUUGGCAGUUUUAGGAUUUGAAUUAACUGUCAAAUUGCUAACAACAGAUUGCAUAAAAAUUACUGCAAAACAUAGCCCGGCCAUAUAGCCCAGCCAUAAAAAAUUAAAUGUUUCAUUUAUUUAAUCACUAGAUUAAAUGACAAGUUUCCAGCUACUACGCGAUUGUUGGCUACUCAGUAACAUAGAUUUGCUGUCAAAUUGCUGGCAAUUCAAAAAUUGCUGGCAAUUAAAAACAACAGUCUUCUUAUCAUCUUUGUUUGCUUUAGACACAAGUUGCCGGGUAAGAAAUUGCAUGCUUAAAAUCAUUUUUGGGCUAUAAAAUUGCAUUUAAGCUAUCAACAUAGCUUUGUUAGCUUAAUUAUUUGUUAGGUCAGGCAACUUGAGGGCUACCAGCUCGAGAAAUUGCUAAAAUACAAGCCUACAGUAGGUAGGUUUUUCAGUGAAAUCUUUUCUCUUUAUAAAUAACUUCUGUAAAAUAUUGCCAGUUGAAAUAAAUCCAGUGUUAGUGACAAUUUUCAAGGUAGCAACACUGUAAAUAUUAUACACUAUUUUUAAAAUAUUGUGAAGUUAAAAUAUUUAAAAAUAAAGAAUUAAUAAUAAAAAAUGCUGAACACUCACAGACUAAAUAAAAAAACAAUAUUUUAUUAUUUAAAUUCAAUAAGUAGACAUGUAUUUAAAUAUGCAAACCUUGAAAAUCGUAAUUCGAUUUUAAUCGAAAGUAUUUUGUAUAGUGAUCAUAAACUCAUGUCAUAAGAUAAGAUCACAAGGAUUCGUUUCCAGUGAAGCGGAGCGGAGUGAUGUGUUCAACACACCAAGUGUUAUAAUAUGACGUAAUACACGUCAUCACUCAGUAUAAAUCUGAUCGAUCGAAAGCACUCGUCUCCGCUCCGCUCCGCUUCAAUGGAAACACCCUAAGCGUAUAAUGCCUAACAAUAACAAAAACAUAUUUGGGUGUUUCAUCUGUUAUUAUGUAGUCUGUGAAUGAACUGCUUAAAAAUAUUCGAGAUAAUUAUAUUGAGUUGGUUUAUGUGAGGUUUAGCAAAAUUAAGAAAAUUAAAUUAGAACUUUGAAAUUUAAUUUAU
Molecule: RNA transcript, 2711 nt
Organism: Maniola jurtina (meadow brown)
Lineage: Eukaryota; Metazoa; Arthropoda; Insecta; Lepidoptera; Nymphalidae
Gene: Herp
Gene name: homocysteine-responsive endoplasmic reticulum-resident ubiquitin-like domain member 2 protein
Exons: 5
Source: RefSeq, a predicted model, not a curated record